RNAcentral lists this ribosomal RNA (301 nucleotides) under uncultured bacterium. RNAcentral describes it as "partial 16S ribosomal RNA". It matches the Rfam family "Bacterial small subunit ribosomal RNA", at positions 509 to 807 of the family's 1533-position model. The record is from RNAcentral.
CAGCCGCCGCGGGAAUACGUAGGGUGCGAGCGUUAAUCGGAAUUACUGGGCGUGAAGCGUGCGCAGGCAGUUGUGUAAGACAGGUGUGAAAUCCCCGGGCUUAACCUGGGAACUGCGCUUGUGACUGCACAGCUAGAGUAUGGCAGAGGGGGGUGGAAUUCCACGUGUAGCAGUGAAAUGCGUAGAGAUGUGGAGGAACACCGAUGGCGAAGGCAGCCCCCUGGGCCAAUACUGACGCUCAUGCACGAAAGCGUGGGGAGCAAACAGGAUUAGAUACCCGCGUAGUCCCUGUCUCUUAUAC